This 497-nucleotide ribosomal RNA is filed under the name uncultured bacterium. RNAcentral's name for it is "partial 16S ribosomal RNA". It matches the Rfam family "Bacterial small subunit ribosomal RNA", at positions 28 to 507 of the family's 1533-position model. The record is from RNAcentral.
GACGAACGCUGGCGGCGUGCCUAAUACAUGCAAGUAGAACGCUAAAGCUUGGUGCUUGCACCGAGCGGGUGAGUUGCGAACGUGUGAGCAACGCGUGUGUAACCUGCCUGGUAGCGGGGGAUCAUCAUGGAAAAGGGGAGCAAAUCCGGCAUAAGCUUCGGUUUCACAUGGCAUUUUGUAAAAAUUCGCAGUUGGAUCAUUAACACGUGGCCUAGCGUUGUAUUGGUGGGGUGGUGGGGUACCAGCGCACCAAGGCGACGACACAUAGACGACCUGAGCGGGUGAUCGGCCACACUGGGACGGAGACACGGCCCAGACGCACAGGGGAGGGAGCAGUAGGGAAUCGUCGGCAAGAGACGGAAGUCUGAGCGAGCUACGCCGCGUGAGUGAAGAAGGUUGUCGGAUCGUAAAGCUCGGUUGUAAGAGAAGAACGAGUGUGAGAGUGGAAAGUUCACACUGUGACGGUAUCUUACCAGAAAGGGACGGCUAACUACGUG